Molecule: ribosomal RNA, 440 nt
Filed under: uncultured bacterium
Lineage: Bacteria
Description: partial 16S ribosomal RNA
Rfam family: Bacterial small subunit ribosomal RNA
Source: RNAcentral
CCUACGGGUGGCAGCAGUGGGGGAUAUUGCACAAUGGGGGGAACCCUGAUGCAGCGACGCCGCGUGGGUGAAGGAGCGUUUCGGCGCGUAAAGCCCUAUCGGCAGGGAAGAAAAUGACGGUACCUGACCAAGAAGCUCCGGCUAACUACGUGCCAGCAGCCGCGGGAAUACGUAGGGAGCAAGCGUUAUCCGGAUUUACUGGGGGUACAGGGGGCGUAGGCGGCAAGACAAGCCAGAUGUGAAAUCCCGGGGCCCAACCCCGGGGCUGCUCUGGGAACUGGAUGGCUGGAGUACCGGAGGGGCAGGCGGAAUUGCUAGGGUAGCGGUGAAAUGCGUAGAUAUUAGGAGGAACACCAGUGGCGAAGGCGGCCUGCUGGACUGUGACUGACGUUGAGGCUCGAAGGCGUGGGGAGCAAACAGGAUUAGAGACCCCGGUAGUC